RNAcentral lists this long non-coding RNA (1272 nucleotides) under Rosa chinensis. RNAcentral describes it as "sRNA RchiOBHm_Chr2g0121701". Lineage: Eukaryota; Viridiplantae; Streptophyta; Magnoliopsida; Rosales; Rosaceae. The record is from RNAcentral.
CCCAGCCUGCAUCUUCGUUGCAUCUAGCUGUCAAGGCCAAAGCAACAUCCGCUCAACGAUUAUCCGCUAGCUUCCUACUCGCCAAAAAGGGCUCCGCUAGCCAGUACUACCGCUGAACAACCUCCGCCGGAAAACCUUCCGCCACACUUUACACCACCAAUCCUUGGUCCACCAUGUGCAGCGCAGUCCACCGUCCAUCUCUCGCUAGCAAACCAAAAAAAAAACCUUGGCGGCAAAUCUUCUCUGGACACCCAGAAAACUUCUCUGGGCACCCAGGCUUCUUUUCUCGAUCGAUCGUCAACCCCAACGGCCAGCGCCUCCGCUGAGCUCCAAACACCAAGCUUCCUCCUCCAGCGAGCCCUUCCGUCGGACAACCCACUAGCUCCAUCAACGAGCUCCGCCGAACUUCUCCUCCGCUGAGCAGUUCCGCCGUUCAUGCUCCGUUGAUGAUCCAAAGCUCCAUCAUCACCGCUCCACCGCUGGGACAUCACCACCCAACUGCCUCCGCUAGCAGAAUACCGCCAGCAACGGCUACUCCAUUGGACAACCCAUUAACCGGCUCCGCUGAGCUCCGAGUCUUCCGCCGAACUUCGAUCCGCCGCUGAGCUAGUAUCGAAUCUCCGUCGAGCUCCAGGUGAGCACAGAGCUCCGCUCCGCCACACUUCUUCAGCGGGUACAACUCCGCUAGGCACCGCCAAAGCUUUACUGGCAAGUCCAGCAAGCUUCACCGCCGGCCACAAAACAAACUGCAAUUGACCCACGAUCAACAAUCAUCCUCGCCGCCAACCACAACCAGCGGUUAAAUCACCGCUAAACACCACCGGCGGCUUUGCAGGCUUAACGACCAUUCUCCGCCAACCUAGCUCCGGCCAUGACUUCCGCCAGCUACCUGCCACCGGCGGCACUGUUAGCUCCCAUCACCAGCAAAGGCAACCUCCACAGCUUCCACCGCUGACCUCCGCUAGCCAUUACGAGUCUCCGCCAAACUAUUGAGUCUCCGCCGAAAUUCCAGUCUCCGCUGAGCUCCAAGUGUGGAGCCUCCGCCGAGCAUCACCAUACCGCUAGCCACCCACCAACGGCUCCACUGUCCAUAGCUCGACAAAUCUAACCCCUCUGCUGAGCACCGCUAGCCUCCACCACUGAGUUAAACACCGUCGAGCACCUCUGCUCCAUGCAGUUACUCCGACUCUCCACCGCCAACUAUGGCCAACUCACCGCCGAACUCCUACGUUGGGAGUCACCGUUGAACUCUGUUGCUGAGCGUCGCUAGCC